Molecule: ribosomal RNA, 764 nt
Filed under: uncultured Corynebacterium sp.
Lineage: Bacteria; Bacillati; Actinomycetota; Actinomycetes; Mycobacteriales; Corynebacteriaceae
Description: bacterial SSU rRNA
Rfam family: Bacterial small subunit ribosomal RNA
Source: RNAcentral
GACGAACGCUGGCGGCGUGCUUAACACAUGCAAGUCGAACGGAAAGGCCCCCACUUUUUUGGUGGGGGUGCUCGAGUGGCGAACGGGUGAGUAACACGUGGGUGAUCUGCCCUGUACUUCGGGAUAAGCUUGGGAAACUGGGUCUAAUACCGGAUAGGACCAUGGUUUAGUGUCUCAUGGUGGAAAAAUUAUUGUUUUGGUGCAGGAUGAGCUCGCGGCCUAUCAGCUCGUUGGUGGGGUAAUGGCCUACCAAGGCGUCGACGGGUAGCCGGCCUGAGAGGGUGGACGGCCACAUUGGGACUGAGAUACGGCCCAGACUCCUACGGGAGGCAGCAGUGGGGAAUAUUGCACAAUGGGCGCAAGCCUGAUGCAGCGACGCCGCGUGGGGGAUGACGGCCUUCGGGUUGUAAACUCCCUUCGUUAGGGACGAAGCCACACCUUUUUUUGGGUGUGGUGACGGUACCUUUGUUAAGAAGCACCGGCUAACUACGUGCCAGCAGCCGCGGUAAUACGUAGGGUGCGAGCGUUGUCCGGAAUUACUGGGCGUAAAGAGCUCGUAGGUGGUUUGUUGCGUCGUCUGUGAAAUUCCGGGGCUUAACUUCGGGGUGGCAGGCGAUACGGGCAUAACUAGAGUGCUGUAGGGGAGACUGGAAUUCCUGGUGUAGCGGUGGAAUGCGCAGAUAUCAGGAGGAACACCGAUGGCGAAGGCAGGUCUCUGGGCAGUAACUGACGCUGAGGAGCGAAAGCAUGGGGGAGCGAACAGG